This 468-nucleotide ribosomal RNA is filed under the name uncultured bacterium. RNAcentral describes it as "partial 16S ribosomal RNA". It matches the Rfam family "Bacterial small subunit ribosomal RNA", at positions 28 to 507 of the family's 1533-position model. The record is from RNAcentral.
GAUGAACGCUGGCGGCGUGCUUAACACAUGCAAGUCGAACGGUGAAGGCGGAGCUUGCUCUGCUGGAUCAGUGGCGAACGGGUGAGUAACACGUGAGCAAUCUGCCCCUGACUCUGGGAUAAGCGCUGGAAACGGCGUCUAAUACUGGAUACGAGCUGCGAAGGCAUCUUCAGCAGCUGGAAAGAAUUUCGUUCAGGGAUCGGCUCGCGGCCUAUCAGCUUGUUGGUGGGGUAAUGGCUCACCAAGGCGACGACGGGUAGCCGGCCUGGGAGGGGGACCGGGCACAAUGGGACUGAGGGAGGGACCAGGCGCGAACGGGCGGCAACAGUGGAAAGUAUUACACAGUGAGCGAGAGCGUGAUAUGACAGCGCCGGGUGAGGAAAGACGGCCUUCGGGUUAAAAACAUAUUUGAGAGGAGAAAAGGAGAAAGUGACGGUACCUACAGAAAAAGCGCCGGCUAACUACGUG